GGGUUGUGAGGUUAAGCGACUAAGCGUACACGGUGGAUGCCCUGGCAGUCAGAGGCGAUGAAGGACGUGCUAAUCUGCGAUAAGCGUCGGUAAGGUGAUAUGAACCGUUAUAACCGGCGAUUUCCGAAUGGGGAAACCCAGUGUGUUUCGACACACUAUCAUUAACUGAAUCCAUAGGUUAAUGAGGCGAACCGGGGGAACUGAAACAUCUAAGUACCCCGAGGAAAAGAAAUCAACCGAGAUUCCCCCAGUAGCGGCGAGCGAACGGGGAGCAGCCCAGAGCCUGAAUCAGUGUGUGUGUUAGUGGAAGCGUCUGGAAAGGCGCGCGAUACAGGGUGACAGCCCCGUACACAAAAAUGCACAUACUGUGAGCUCGAUGAGUAGGGCGGGACACGUGGUAUCCUGUCUGAAUAUGGGGGGACCAUCCUCCAAGGCUAAAUACUCCUGACUGACCGAUAGUGAACCAGUACCGUGAGGGAAAGGCGAAAAGAACCCCGGCGAGGGGAGUGAAAAAGAACCUGAAACCGUGUACGUACAAGCAGUGGGAGCACGCUUCGGCGUGUGACUGCGUACCUUUUGUAUAAUGGGUCAGCGACUUAUAUUCUGUAGCAAGGUUAACCGAAUAGGGGAGCCGAAGGGAAACCGAGUCUUAACUGGGCGUUAAGUUGCAGGGUAUAGACCCGAAACCCGGUGAUCUAGCCAUGGGCAGGUUGAAGGUUGGGUAACACUAACUGGAGGACCGAACCGACUAAUGUUGAAAAAUUAGCGGAUGACUUGUGGCUGGGGGUGAAAGGCCAAUCAAACCGGGAGAUAGCUGGUUCUCCCCGAAAGCUAUUUAGGUAGCGCCUCGUGAAUU
This 856-nucleotide ribosomal RNA is filed under the name Escherichia coli. RNAcentral's name for it is "partial 23S ribosomal RNA". It matches the Rfam family "Bacterial large subunit ribosomal RNA", at positions 1 to 890 of the family's 2925-position model. The record is from RNAcentral. Lineage: Bacteria; Pseudomonadati; Pseudomonadota; Gammaproteobacteria; Enterobacterales; Enterobacteriaceae.